This 498-nucleotide ribosomal RNA is filed under the name uncultured bacterium. RNAcentral describes it as "partial 16S ribosomal RNA". It matches the Rfam family "Bacterial small subunit ribosomal RNA", at positions 30 to 523 of the family's 1533-position model. The record is from RNAcentral.
AUUGAACGCUGGCGGAAUGCUUUACACAUGCAAGUCGAACGGCAGCACGGGGCAACCUGGUGGCGAGUGGCGAACGGGUGAGUAAUACAUCGGAACGUGCCCAAUCGUGGGGGAUAACGUAGCGAAAGUUACGCUAAUACCGCAUACGAUCUACGGAUGAAAGCGGGGGAUCGCAAGACCUCGCGCGAAUGGAGCGGCCGAUGUCAGAUUAGGUAGUUGGUGGGGUAAAGGCUCACCAAGCCAACGAUCUGUAGCUGGUCUGAGAGGACGACCAGCCACACUGGGACUGAGACACGGCCCAGACUCCUACGGGAGGCAGCAGUGGGGAACUUUGGACAAUGGACGCAAGCCUGAUCCAGCCAUUCCGCGUGCAGGAUGAAGGCCUUCGGGUUGUAAACUGCUUUUGUACGGAACGAAACGGCUCUCUCUAAUACAGGGGGCUAAUGACGGUACCGUAAGAAUAAGCACCGGCUAACUACGUGCCAGCCGCCGCGGUAA